RNAcentral lists this ribosomal RNA (407 nucleotides) under uncultured bacterium. RNAcentral describes it as "bacterial SSU rRNA". It matches the Rfam family "Bacterial small subunit ribosomal RNA", at positions 355 to 776 of the family's 1533-position model. The record is from RNAcentral.
UUAGGAAUUUUGCGCAAUGGGGGAAACCCUGACGCAGCAACGCCGCGUGAAGGAUGAAGGCCUUUGGGUUGUAAACUUCUUUUAGCAGGAAAGAAAAAAAUGACGGUACCUGCAGAAAAAGCACCGGCUAACUCUGUGCCAGCAGCCGCGGUAAUACAGAGGGUGCAAGCGUUAUUCGGAAUUACUGGGCGUAAAGAGCGCGUAGGCGGUUUGAUAAGUCUGUUGUGAAAGCCCUGGACCCAAUCCAGGAAGUGCAGCGGAUACUGUCUGACUAGAGUAUAGGAGAGGAGAGUGGAAUUUCUGGUGUAGAGGUGAAAUUCGUAGAUAUCAGAAGGAACAACAGUGGCGAAGGCGACUCUCUGGACUAUUACUGACGCUGAGGCGCGAAAGCGUGGGGAGCAAACAGG